RNAcentral lists this ribosomal RNA (462 nucleotides) under uncultured Sphingomonas sp. RNAcentral describes it as "bacterial SSU rRNA". It matches the Rfam family "Bacterial small subunit ribosomal RNA", at positions 920 to 1382 of the family's 1533-position model. Lineage: Bacteria; Pseudomonadati; Pseudomonadota; Alphaproteobacteria; Sphingomonadales; Sphingomonadaceae. The record is from RNAcentral.
CCUGCACGAAGCGGUGGAGCAUGUGGUUAAUUCGAAGCAACGCGACAGAACCUUACCAGCGUUUGACAUGGUAGGACGACUGGCAGAGAUGCCUUUCUCCCUUCGGGGACCUACACACAGGUGCUGCAUGGCUGUCGUCAGCUCGUGUCGUGAGAUGUUGGGUUAAGUCCCGCAACGAGCGCAACCCUCGACUUUAGUUACCAUCAUUAAGUUGGGUACUUUAAAGUAACCGCCGGUGAUAAGCCGGAGGAAGGUGGGGAUGACGUCAAGUCCUCAUGGCCCUUACGCGCUGGGCUACACACGUGCUACAAUGGCAAGUACAGUGGGCAGCAAUCCCGCGAGGGUGAGCUAAUCUCCAAAACUUGUCUCAGUUCGGAUUGUUCUCUGCAACUCGAGAGCAUGAAGGCGGAAUCGCUAGUAAUCGCGGAUCAGCAUGCCGCGGUGAAUACGUUCCCAGGCCUU